Long non-coding RNA from Tripterygium wilfordii, 408 nucleotides. RefSeq lists it as uncharacterized. The transcript is spliced from 4 exons. The record is from RefSeq and is a predicted model, not a curated record. NCBI's taxonomy places the organism in Eukaryota, Viridiplantae, Streptophyta, Magnoliopsida, Celastrales, Celastraceae.
GGGACCCAAGCUUGAGACCUACACCCACACUUCAUUUGAGAAGGAUUUAAGGUACAAGUGUGGUUCUUGAAUCAAUUCAAGAGAAAGCUUGAAAUUCUUGAGUUAGUGGAACUAACAAAGUUCAAGGUUAGUGAAUUGGCGUGAAGUGUACGCUACUUUCUUGGUGAGGAUUGCGUGUUUACUUCGAGGUGAGACAGGAUCUAGUGCACAGGCUGCGGAUCAGCAGGAGGACGUGUGACGGAGGUUGCCUGGACUUUUGUGGUUGUGUGACACGUGUGUGUGGAUUUAUAUAUAUGUAUGGUGUGAUGUUGGUACGUUUUAGUAGUUUAAGUACAUUGAUGUACUAUGGUUAUGGUUGGAUUGAUGUAUGGUGUUGUUUUUUUGUUGGCCGGGAGUGGGGGCAGUGAC